Molecule: long non-coding RNA, 5335 nt
Organism: Aquila chrysaetos chrysaetos
Lineage: Eukaryota; Metazoa; Chordata; Aves; Accipitriformes; Accipitridae
Exons: 6
Source: RefSeq, a predicted model, not a curated record
UGCCCGGUUAGGGGAGAGCCUCACCGGGGGUCCCGCACCCCGCGGAGGGUCCCGGCUGCGGGACCCACGCGGCCGCGGGAAUUGCCCCUGGCUGCGUGCGAGGGUCUGGGGCGGGGGCUGGCCCACCCGGGACUCCGAGGGGUGCACACCCCCCUCGCAGGGCUACCCCAGAAGUGAGGGACACGCACCCGACCCCGGCUGCGGUUGUGGGGCCGCGGGGAGCCGAGCUGUCGGGCGUCCAGCGUCUGGGCUAGUUGCCUUCCCCCGGCCCGCAGCCCCGGCAGUAAUUGCCCCCAGGGAGGGAGAGCAGAGGCCGCCAGCUCACACCCGGGCGGCUGUCUGUCGGGGCAGGAGAGGUGCCCAGGUGUGUUGUAUCGCUGUAUCCCGUGAUGAGGGGCAAGAACUCCCACAGCUCACACAGUUGCUCUAUAAACAGGGCAGCAGCAGCAGUAAGAGCUGGUUUUCACGCUUGUCUCUGUCCCUGGUUUUCUGUGUUUUCAUCCUCCAGCCUGCCUAGUGAGGAUGAUCAUCCCUGACCUGCUUCUGUAAAAUGGCUCAAGGCCCUGGGAUUGCUCAUGGUGCUUCUUUUGCCUUGUAUGUAGCCCAAGGAUGUUGGGGCGCUGCGGGCAGGGAGGAAACCCUUUCUACAAACACCCGCUGGCAGAAGCGCUGUCCUUGAGCAGCUCUUUGCACAGCAGUGUGCAAAUCCUCCAGAAGAGUCCUGCUUUGUCCAGUGCACCCGGCGUUGGAUGCAUCCAGCCGUGCUUCACAAGCCGAGUAGAAGCAAGAUCUGCCUUCAUCAGGAGCUAACAGAAGCGAGACCACGAAAAGAACAGACACAAAUGGCUUUAAAACAAAGACCGGUGUAUUUCUACUAGACUAUUUGAUACAGAGGAUGCCUGUAGGAUGAAUGGCUGAGUAUAGAUGAAGUGGAUAACAACAGCAGCUUCCGCCUCAUGUUUGUAGCUGGGUUCCUUUCACUUACUACGGAUGUGUCUCAGUGAGGCUCAACACAGAGGUCACUGAGCCACACUGAAGCCUCUAGGGAAGUGCCAAGGGGGCUGCAAGGAAAACAGACUACAGAAUGAGAAGCAGAACUUCUUGGGAAGCCCAAGACUACUUGCUCUUCAGACUGUGUCAGAAGACAUAGAGGAUGGGUUUGUUUGAGGACUAGUACAAGAAGAAAAUACGCUAUGAUGAAAUAGUCUUACCAGAAGUUUUUGGGCUGGAACUGGUGGCUCUCAAUACAGGCAAUAAUUGUCUGCUGCCCAUCUAUAGAUUUACCAUAAACCUGUAUUUAGAAAAAGAGUUAAAAAGGCCCAAGAGCUGAGGAAAGCCAUUCUUAAUUUCUGUUCUUGGCAGCAUUGUGGAGGCUUGCUAUUGUGGUAUCUUACUGGAAACACAUACCACUAAUUGUCUAACACCUCCACUUGCACGUAUGUACAAAUAACGCCUCCUUUUUAUUAACUGCAGGUGUUAAGGUGCGUGGCAGUCACAACUAUGAAAAAUAAGGUCUAAUACGUCUUUACCACUGUGUGCAUACCAAGAUAUUUGCACCCUCUUUGGAACUUGUUAUUCCAAAGUUAGCAAAAAUGCUAGUGAGGAUGGAGAAUUGGAACAGCACUGCCCAGCACAAAGUCCACUCAAGGUACUGACUGACAUGGAGCAAUGAACUUUCAGUGAAUCAAGAUGGAUACUCAACAGUACAGAAGCCAUUGGGGUAAUGAUCUUUCACAUAAGCUCUCAGUGCACUGUCACAGGCAUCUCUCCAUUGUUUUAAAGCUGAUUCUGUGUCCUCAGGCUGGGGGUCACUUGCUUCUUUCCUUAAAUGAUCAAACUUAAAAGAAAGUUUGUUUCUUGGGUCUAAAAAUCUGCCAUUGCCCAGAUCACCAUGUUCUGUGAUUAAGACCUGUAAAAGAAGUUGAAAUUAAGAUACACUCACACUGCUGUAAAUGUGCUGGUUUGCAUUUUUUUCUGACUAUUUGAAUAGAUAUCAAUGUUUCAACAGAUUCUUUCAUUGACCUAUAAUAUCACAUAAAGAAACAAGGAUUUUUGGUAGUAAUUUCAACUAGGAGUAGUUGUAGUGAGGCUGUAGGCAAAUUCUCUGCUCUUCACAGUAAUACUGCACUUAGUCUUCUGUCCCAGAAAUGGCUGUAUUACAUUAAUGUAUAUAUUUAGCUUAAAGUUGGGCACCCUUACAAUACAAACAAGUGGUUUUGCUUUUGAAGUUAUUUUUGCUGUUUCCUUCCCCAUUUCUAAAGGAAACAAAGAAUUUUACUCUGAAAUUUACCAUUUAUUGUCAUGGUCCGUGUUGUAAUAGCUCUCCUGGUCAAGAAGGGUAUAUAGAUGUGGCUACUUCUAUUAUACACAAACUAAAGUACACAGCAAAGCAGCACUGUACCUUCCCUCCCCUUUGUCUUAGUCACCAUAAUUCUCUGGCUUGCCAAACAUUGACUUUGGGGGUUGGGUUGUACUGUAACUUUCUCUUGUCAAAGCUAUUUCUAUGGACAGUCCUCUUAAAAAUAUCUGCCUCCCAUGAACAUAUCUGGGACACCAGAAAAGCUAGGUCAGUACUUGGCUCAGAGAAUAGAACAGAUGGUCAGGCCAGCUUUCUAUCUUCUGCAGGACUUGCUGCUUGUUCUCAAAAAAAAAAAAAAAAAAAAAAAAAAAAAAUUGUUUUGCUGGCAUAGACUGGAUAGUAUUAGAUUGGUAUAAUCAAAGAUACAGUAUGCUUUUUAGUGUAGCUGGGAAUGGAUUAAAAAUGCAGAAAAUGGAAAAAAAACCUAUUAAAGAUCUACUACUGAUUGUCAUUAGGAACUGUAAGCAGGUGGCAACAUAAGGAUUUGGAAGUGAACUUUAAAUAAACAGUAAUCUUUAAUCAUUCCUACUCUAAGUAGAAUUCCACUGACUUCAGCAUGGAGCUUUACUUAAGGAACAAUGAAUUAGAGUUACUAGGUAGUAUCAGACAAUACUUUAAGAGAACAUUUCACCUAUGCUUCUUCUAUAAGAACAAAUGAUGUGUGGGGGAAGGAGGAGAGGUGAUAAGUUUUGAGUAGAAUUAAACUAGUCAACAUCUUGAUGAAACAACAUUUUUAUUGGUUUUGCACAGUGUAGUAAUACAAACCUCAAGUGUUUUCUCUUACCUGAUCAUCAUACCCUUCUAUCUUCACCGGAGUGAACUGAUCCAUGUUAUACUGUGCAAAUGCACUGUUAAGAAUUAAAAGAACAUGAACUUUAGCUGUACAUGCACAUUUAUUUUGACUCAAGAAUAAGUAUAUGGUGUGAUUUACAUUACAGAAAAUUUCAACUUGAUUUGGCAAAUAAUACACAUAAGCACUCUUUAAGGAUUUUUUAAAUACCUUUUAUUGACGAUAGCUAUAAAACCCCAGGUCUAAAUAAACCCAGGUUUAUUUAGUGAUGCCCAGGAAAGUACAGAGUUCAAAAGUAGAACAGCAGGCAGCCUGGGGGAAUAUGAGCAAGGCAAGGCAAAACAGGAACACCCCAGCUACAAUUCGGACAGCAGUAAGGUAAACAAAUGAGUAGUCUAAUAUUUAUAACAAUUUUCUUACGUAAAGACCUGCUGACUGACAUGUCACCUAGCUUGAAGUAAAAUCUUAGCAUCAAAAAGCUUGUAUGCAUAACCUUUAAGCACCUUCUGAUGAAACUGUGCAAGUAAACAAGGUAUUUUGAAAGCUUUUUUUUUUUUUGAGAGCAGUUCUUUUUCUAAUCAUCAGCUAAGGAUUACUCAGUAUUUCAGGCUUCACUUGCUUUACAAAUCAUGCUUCAACAAGAUCAGACAUUCCUGCUGUUGCAGAGUUAAACCUUUUGGCAGAGUGCCUUCCUGUCAGUUUUAUAUGGCCUCUACAGCACAAAUUCUAAUUUGAGGCUUUUAAUAAGAAUCACCCAUGCCUUUCAUUAUGUAUUUUGUUGGGGGGGGAUAAGGAAUUACAGAAGAUUGCUCUCAAUACAACAAAUGGCUUGCAUGCAUGACACAAUGAUGGGUGUAAGAAAACAUAUACACUUCUGAUGGUAAUUUGACUUGUUUGAAGUAUCAAUACUUACUGUGCUGCUCCUUCCCUGAGAAGAUUAUCAUUGUUGAGCAAUAACCGGACAUCUGGAGAAGAGAGAAUUCAGGACACUGUGAUUCCCUGUGAUGCAGCUUGUUUGAUGCUGAUGACUGGCUGAAGGAGAUGCCAUUGCUUCACAGCAAACAGCGUGUGAAGGAUGAGCGGUUGAUACCUCUAGAAAUGGAGCAGUAAACCAAUUACAUCAACUGCCAUGGGACUGCUUCCAGAGUUAAUUGUGCCUCAUGGACUUUGAAAAGCCACUGAUGUGCUUGGAGUGCAGAAGGUGGUAUGAAGAUAGAAAGUAAAAGCUGGGAACUGACAGAAUGGGGGAGGUGAUGGGAAGUGCCAAAAUGAACCAGAGACAUCAGAUGCAGCCUCCAAAUGAAGCCAUCCAAAUUUCAGCAGGUGUUUUUGGUGGGUUUUUUUUUGUUUGUUUGUUUGUUUGUUUUUUCUUUCUUGAUCCUCUAAUGCUGCCCAUGUCACUUCUAACCCUGGGCAGUAGACCCACCACCUGUGCCAUUCUGUGGCAUGUUACUCCUCUCAUCUUGAACUAGUAUUUCAUUGGAAACUACUGUAGUCCUGCCAUGAACUGUCAGAGUGGUGGAAGAAUUCAGGCAUGUGGAACUGAAAGUGAUACAAUAAAUAACUGAAAAGGCCAACUGUAAGGAAAAUACCUCAAUGUCUGCAAACUUUGAAGCUGGAAAACAAAACCCCAUUCUCUUCUAAAAGUAAUAAAGCUGCAUUGUGUUCUGAAAUCCAAUAUACACGUCUUGCAUUGUUAGAAUUUAGGUGGUCUAGGUACUGAUUCUGUUGAAACUACGAAGUUAAGUUUAUGGUUUUCAUAAUAAAAUAUUUUAUGUUUUUUACAGGACCAAAGGGAAUAGAAUUAUCUUGGAAGACUUGAAACAGGAAAUGUCACAAAAUUAAACCUCUCUCUUAGAAUAAUAAAAAUGUCACAUUUCUUCCAAUAAGUACAGCUAACAAAGCUGUGCAAUAAGCCUUACUUGCUCAACUAGAUGUUUAUUGAAGAUGACUGCAGAACAGUGCUCAUUACAACUCUGAUUACUUUUUCUGCUUCUCAUUUUGAGCAGUAAAACACAGGAGUGUGUAUAUAGCCAACUGCUUCAGCUGAAUUAUUGCCAGAGCUGGAAAUAACUUGCUUCUCUCAACAGUCUUCCCUGUUUUAAUUAGAAAUUGUUGUUUGUAUUGUUUGUCACAUAAUGAUUUAAAGCAAGUCAUGAAAGGAAAUAAACACCUUUCCAAACAAA